UGGGGAAUUUUGGACAAUGGGCGCAAGCCUGAUCCAGCCAUACCGCGUGAGUGAAGAAGGCCUUCGGGUUGUAAAGCUCUUUCAGACGGAAAGAAACGGUUACGGCUAAUACCCGUGACUAAUGACGGUACCGUAAGAAGAAGCACCGGCUAACUACGUGCCAGCAGCCGCGGUAAUACGUAGGGUGCGAGCGUUAAUCGGAAUUACUGGGCGUAAAGCGUGCGCGGGCGGUUGUGUAAGUCAGAUGUGAAAUCCCCGGGCUCAACCUGGGAAUUGCAUUUGAGACUGCACGGCUAGAGUGUGUCAGAGGGGGGUAGAAUUCCACGUGUAGCAGUGAAAUGCGUAGAUAUGUGGAGGAAUACCGAUGGCGAAGGCAGCCCCCUGGGAUAACACUGACGCUCAUGCACGAAAGCGUGGGGAGCAAACAGGAUUAGAUACCCCCGUAGUCCCUGAGCGGGCUGGCAAGGCGCAU
Molecule: ribosomal RNA, 472 nt
Filed under: uncultured bacterium
Lineage: Bacteria
Description: bacterial SSU rRNA
Rfam family: Bacterial small subunit ribosomal RNA
Source: RNAcentral